AUAUAUACGGCUGUAAAGAAGUGUUUCGCACACGGGCUGGAAGUGAGG
This 48-nucleotide non-coding RNA is filed under the name unclassified sequences. Its description in RNAcentral is "ssnA RNA". It matches the Rfam family "ssnA RNA". The record is from RNAcentral.